Molecule: microRNA, 22 nt
Filed under: Gallus gallus (chicken)
Lineage: Eukaryota; Metazoa; Chordata; Aves; Galliformes; Phasianidae
Description: gga-miR-12247-5p
Source: miRBase by way of RNAcentral
CCCGGGGUGGGCACGCUGUACG